AGAAUCAACGCUGGCGGCGUGCCUAACACAUGCAAGUCGCACGAGAAAGGGACUUCGGUCCUGAGUAAAGUGGCGCACGGGUGAGUAACACGUGAAUCAUCUACCUCCGAGUGGGGAAUAACCUAAGAGAAAUCUGGGCUAAUACCGCAUAACACUUACGAGUCAAAGCAGCAAUGCGCUUGGAGAGGAGUUCGCGGCAGAUUAGUUAGUUGGCGGGGUAAUGGCCCACCAAGACGAUGAUCUGUA
This 246-nucleotide ribosomal RNA is filed under the name uncultured bacterium. RNAcentral describes it as "partial small subunit ribosomal RNA". It matches the Rfam family "Bacterial small subunit ribosomal RNA", at positions 26 to 285 of the family's 1533-position model. The record is from RNAcentral.